Molecule: long non-coding RNA, 972 nt
Organism: Larimichthys crocea (large yellow croaker)
Lineage: Eukaryota; Metazoa; Chordata; Actinopteri; Sciaenidae
Exons: 4
Source: RefSeq, a predicted model, not a curated record
GUUUAUUUCAACAUUUGACGCAUUACAAGAAAUGCAUUAACGUUAAAAUAGCAGCAUGUUGGGGUGCUUUACACAUAAGUAAGCAGCACUCUCCUUAUUAUGUGUUACCAGUGGUGGAAAGUACAUUGAGAAACUACUCUGACCUAUCCAUCAAAAGGCGUGUGUCUAGUCCAGUACCCUGUGACCUAAACUUCACUUUAGACAGUGGAUGGAGAGGAACAUGGCUGAGAGAUAAGGGACUUAAAGAGGAGGAGGAGCACCUAAGAAGAGGCGGGGAGUCAGAUGAAGAGGCCGUCCUUUGAGAAAGGAGGGGUGUCCUCAAAAAGAGGGAGGUGCUUUCAUGACGGGUGUCCCUUGUCCUCCUGUUCUUUAAUCAGAGCUGGGGCCCCCAGCUGUAGCCGGAAGGAAACCUCAUUCCAGGAAGUGCCUGCCUGAUACUGCACGACUGGCCUCGUUGUGGCCUCAGUGCCAAUCGGACAUCUAUUCAUCUGAGGAAAGGGAAGCGUGCCAUUGCAAUCGUCAGUCAUUCCCGAAUCCAGUUACUGUAGAAUCCUGUCCUAAAUAGGAGGUGUGGUCUUAUGUGUGUUUGUUUUCAAUGAUUGACAUCUUGUUGAUGGGUGUGAUAGAAAUACACACCGGUUACAGUCCAUGACUCAACACCUCUGCAUAAAAUUUUCUAAAGAAUGUUCUUUCUUUUUAAACAAGUCAAACUAGAGUUGCAUCUGAAGUGCACCAUGGGUCAUCGAGCCCUCACUCAGGCGCUGAGUGAUGAUGUCAUACUUAGGAAACCACCACUGGGACAGCAGGAAGGAAAAUAAAAGCUGUGGCAUGAAAAGAGGGAAAAAGACAGAGAUUGGAGGCGACGGUUGUGAUGUGAAGAAAGUGUUUCUGGUCGCUCUGGCUGAGAGUGUGCAGUGCGGUUGCUGGCUGACUGAGGGUUUUUAAUAAACAGCCUGUUGAAACAUGACAGGA